GCGCCGGAGUGUAUUGUGGUCAGCUCCCCUAUAUUUUUUUGCUGAUCCGCCCCUGAAGCAGGCAUGCCCUAUCAAUCAGACACUUCUUCCUGCUCAGAUGAUUCCGAAGAUAGAAGCACCAUCCCAGCAGGCAAAUACACUAUGGAAGAAUUCGUUGCCGAGCACAGUGUCAUGCACAAUUUACUUCGGCGGAUCAAUGUGAAGAUUCAGGCCAAAAUCAAAGCACGGCAAGGUGGUACAUCUCGCCGCCGGAAAGGUUUUAAUAGGAGAGUCAUAGAGAGAGAUCAUGGAGAGGGUCAUCAGCGGCUUGUCACCGAUUUCUUUUCUGAUGAUCCAGUCUAUGAUGAAAAAAUAUUCAGGACAAGGUAUCGGAUGAGUAGACCCCUCUUUCUACGUAUUGUCCAUGCGCUAGGCGAGUGGUCUCCCUAUUUCACCAAAAGGGCAGAUAUCUGUUGUCGCCAAGGGUUAUCACCUUUGCAGAAGUGCACAGCGGCUAUUCGUAUGUUAGCUCGUGGCUCCCCGGCAGAUGCUGUUGACGAAUAUGUACAGAUUGGUACGAGCACAGCAAUGGAGUGUUUGGAGCGGUUUGCAGAAGGGGUGAUCGACAAUUUUGGUGGAGAAUAUUUGCGAGGUCCUACUAGUGUUGAUCUGCAGCGUCUACUACAAAUUGGUGAAGGCUAUGACUUCCCUGGCAUGUUGGGAAGCAUUGGUUGUAUGCACUGGGAGUGGGAAAAUUGCCCUCCUAAAUGGAUGCGCCGUCUUAAUCAUAGUGACCACGGCUUUACCACGUUUAUUCUUGAGGCUGUCGCUUCACAAGACCUCUGGAUAUGGCAUGCUUGUUUCAAUGUUGUUGGGUCCAUCAAUGACAUCAGUGCUCUCAAUCAAUCACCGUUGUUCACGUAAGUCUUGAAGGGACAAGCUCCCCCGGUUCAAUUCUCCGUCAAUAAGAGUCAAUAUGAUAUGGGGUACUACCUUGCUGAUGAAAUUUAUCCAGAAAGCACUGUAUUUGUUAAGACGAUACCCUUCCCUCGAACAGAAAAGGAACGAUUGUUUACUAAACAUCAAGAAGAGGCAAGGAAGGAUGUUCAGCGUGCAUUUGCAGUUCUGCAAUCUCGUUUCCCCAUUGUUCGUGGUCCAAUUCGCUUUUUCCAACGAGCAACUCUUGGAAAAAUCCUGGAAGCCUGUGUCAUACUCCAUAACAUGGCAGUUGAGGAUGAGAAAGACAUGGCAAGUGCUUAUUCUGAACCAAACGAAGCUUCAGGUAUAACGGUUGUUUUACCAUCAAACAUCAAAACUGGGCCUGCCAAUUGCUUAACUAAUGUACUUCAGAGGACUGCCAAUAUUUGUAGUCAAGCAGCACAUGGCCAGCUAAGAAGGGAUUUAAUUGAGCAUAUCUGGCAGCAGUUUGGGCCAUUUGGUGACAAGUAAAUAAGUUCUAGUAUUAUUAGUUUACGAAGUCAAGUCGCUUGGUGGGUCACUGAUGUAGAUAUACAGUCAAGCAAAGCACACUAGCUCAUGUUGCUAUCUUUGAUGCUUCCAACUGGGGAAAAGGAAGAUACAUGUUUAUAUGUUAUUAUUAUUACUAUUAUUUCUGGCAGGGGGCUGGUGAUCCGUCUGUUUUAUUGACAUCUAUGUGCUGCAUCAUAUAUAACAGAGGUCUAAAAAAACAUAUAUAACAGAAAGUGUGUGCUGUUAUCAAAAUUAUGGUAGUGUGCAUUGUGCAGGAGAGUGUUGAGCUUGCGUUGCUCAUAUUUCGAAAUGGCCACUCAUCGUUGUUAUUAACAGUAUCUUGUGCAGGAUACAAUUGGCUGUUUAAAUGGCUUUUUGGAAAGAAAAAAAAAAGCUAAUUGUCAGGAUAUAAUGAGACACGGUAACUGACUGUGAGCUAUAAAUUCUGCCACUGGAAAUUGGAAAAACAAAUCCCAUAUAUUUUCGUUCUCUCACAGGAGCAUAACCUUUCAUCAGCAGCUUAUCAGCUGUCACAGCAGAGUUUCAGUAAGAAGCCAUAGAAAUGUCUUAUUCUUCAAAGGAAUCUUCAAUCUGCAUAAGGAACUCUGUGCCUUUGCUGUAGUCUAUGUAUUCUAUAAAGAUUUCAGUGAAGUAUUAUGCUUCCAAAGUAAAACAUCAUCUUCAUCGCCCUAGCUGGUUAGCCUGUGGCAUUACUGAGUUA
Molecule: long non-coding RNA, 2170 nt
Organism: Panicum virgatum (switchgrass)
Lineage: Eukaryota; Viridiplantae; Streptophyta; Magnoliopsida; Poales; Poaceae
Exons: 3
Source: RefSeq, a predicted model, not a curated record